RNAcentral lists this transfer RNA (76 nucleotides) under Dehalococcoidia bacterium. Its description in RNAcentral is "tRNA-Pro". It matches the Rfam family "tRNA". From Rfam's summary of the family: Transfer RNA (tRNA) molecules are approximately 80 nucleotides in length. Lineage: Bacteria; Bacillati; Chloroflexota; Dehalococcoidia. The record is from RNAcentral. RNAcentral also lists the same sequence under 1 other name.
CGGGGUGUGGCGCAGUUGGCAGCGCGCUACGUUCGGGACGUAGAGGUCGUCGGUUCAAAUCCGACCACCCCGACCA